CAGUCGCGUUUGCUGGGACUCAACCUUGCUUUUGCCUGGUGUACUUCUCAGUAAAUGGGCCAACAUCAAUUUUGGUGGUCAUAAAAUGGCUGGAGGAAUGUAGCUUCGAUCUUGUAUUGAAGUGUUAUAGCCUUCGGUAGAUGUGAUGAUCGGGAUUGAGGAUUGCAACGGAUACCCCUUCGGGGGCUACCUGUCUGGUCUCUGAUCGCUGCUCUGGUGCCGAAAGCUUGCUUACGGUUAUCAAAGUCGAUGGUCAAUAGGUUAGAACGGGUUAAAUUCGUUAAGGAUGUUGACGUAAUGGCUUUAAACGACCCGUCUUGAAACACGGACCAAGGAGUCUAACAUAUAUGCGAGUGUU
RNAcentral lists this ribosomal RNA (358 nucleotides) under Glomus sp. (unid). It matches the Rfam family "Eukaryotic large subunit ribosomal RNA", at positions 430 to 694 of the family's 3401-position model. The record is from RNAcentral. Lineage: Eukaryota; Fungi; Glomeromycota; Glomeromycetes; Glomerales; Glomeraceae.